Molecule: ribosomal RNA, 863 nt
Filed under: uncultured bacterium
Lineage: Bacteria
Description: bacterial SSU rRNA
Rfam family: Bacterial small subunit ribosomal RNA
Source: RNAcentral
AGAGUUUGAUCAUGGCUCAGAGCGAACGCUGGCGGCAGGCUUAACACAUGCAAGUCGAGCGGGCGUAGCAAUACGUCAGCGGCAGACGGGUGAGUAACGCGUGGGAACAUACCUUUUGGUUCGGAACAACACAGGGAAACUUGUGCUAAUACCGGAUAAGCCCUUACGGGGAAAGAUUUAUCGCCGAAAGAUUGGCCCGCGUCUGAUUAGCUAGUUGGUGAGGUAACGGCUCACCAAGGCGACGAUCAGUAGCUGGUCUGAGAGGAUGAUCAGCCACAUUGGGACUGAGACACGGCCCAAACUCCUACGGGAGGCAGCAGUGGGGAAUAUUGGACAAUGGGCGCAAGCCUGAUCCAGCCAUGCCGCGUGAGUGAUGAAGGCCCUAGGGUUGUAAAGCUCUUUUGUGCGGGAAGAUAAUGACGGUACCGCAAGAAUAAGCCCCGGCUAACUUCGUGCCAGCAGCCGCGGUAAUACGAAGGGGGCUAGCGUUGCUCGGAAUCACUGGGCGUAAAGGGUGCGUAGGCGGGUCUUUAAGUCAGGGGUGAAAUCCUGGAGCUCAACUCCAGAACUGCCUUUGAUACUGAGGAUCUUGAGUUCGGGAGAGGUGAGUGGAACUGCGAGUGUAGAGGUGAAAUUCGUAGAUAUUCGCAAGAACACCAGUGGCGAAGGCGGCUCACUGGCCCGAUACUGACGCUGAGGCACGAAAGCGUGGGGAGCAAACAGCAUUAGAUACCCUGGUAGUCCACGCCGUAAACGAUGAAUGCCAGCCGUUAGUGGGUUUACUCACUAGUGGCGCAGCUAACGCUUCAAGCAUUCCGCCUGGGGGAGUACGGUCGCAAGAAUAAACUUCAAGGAAUUGACGG